UUAUAUGAGAGUUUGAUCCUGGCUCAGGAUGAACGCUGGCGGCGUGCCUAAUACAUGCAAGUCGAACGAGUUCUGAUUAUUGAAAGGUGCUUGCAUCUUGAUUUAAUUUUGAACGAGUGGCGGACGGGUGAGUAACACGUGGGUAACCUGCCCUUAAGUGGGGGAUAACAUUUGGAAACAGAUGCUAAUACCGCAUAAAUCCAAGAACCGCAUGGUUCUUGGCUGAAAGAUGGCGUAAGCUAUCGCUUUUGGAUGGACCCGCGGCGUAUUAGCUAGUUGGUGAGGUAACGGCUCACCAAGGCAAUGAUACGUAGCCGAACUGAGAGGUUGAUCGGCCACAUUGGGACUGAGACACGGCCCAAACUCCUACGGGAGGCAGCAGUAGGGAAUCUUCCACAAUGGACGCAAGUCUGAUGGAGCAACGCCGCGUGAGUGAAGAAGGCUUUCGGGUCGUAAAACUCUGUUGUUGGAGAAGAAUGGUCGGCAGAGUAACUGUUGUCGGCGUGACGGUAUCCAACCAGAAAGCCACGGCUAACUACGUGCCAGCAGCCGCGGUAAUACGUAGGUGGCAAGCGUUAUCCGGAUUUAUUGGGCGUAAAGCGAGCGCAGGCGGUUUUUUAAGUCUGAUGUGAAAGCCCUCGGCUUAACCGAGGAAGUGCAUCGGAAACUGGGAAACUUGAGUGCAGAAGAGGACAGUGGAACUCCAUGUGUAGCGGUGAAAUGCGUAGAUAUAUGGAAGAACACCAGUGGCGAAGGCGGCUGUCUGGUCUGUAACUGACGCUGAGGCUCGAAAGCAUGGGUAGCGAACAGGAUUAGAUACCCUGGUAGUCCAUGCCGUAAACGAUGAAUGCUAGGUGUUGGAGGGUUUCCGCCCUUCAGUGCCGCAGCUAACGCAUUAAGCAUUCCGCCUGGGGAGUACGACCGCAAGGUUGAAACUCAAAGGAAUUGACGGGGGCCCGCACAAGCGGUGGAGCAUGUGGUUUAAUUCGAAGCAACGCGAAGAACCUUACCAGGUCUUGACAUCUUUUGAUCACCUGAGAGAUCAGGUUUCCCCUUCGGGGCAAAAUGACAGGUGGUGCAUGGUUGUCGUCAGCUCGUGUCGUGAGAUGUUGGGUUAAGUCCCGCAACGAGCGCAACCCUUAUGACUAGUUGCCAGCAUUUAGUUGGGCACUCUAGUAAGACUGCCGGUGACAAACCGGAGGAAGGUGGGGAUGACGUCAAAUCAUCAUGCCCCUUAUGACCUGGGCUACACACGUGCUACAAUGGAUGGUACAACGAGUUGCGAGACCGCGAGGUCAAGCUAAUCUCUUAAAGCCAUUCUCAGUUCGGACUGUAGGCUGCAACUCGCCUACACGAAGUCGGAAUCGCUAGUAAUCGCGGAUCAGCACGCCGCGGUGAAUACGUUCCCGGGCCUUGUACACACCGCCCGUCACACCAUGAGAGUUUGUAACACCCGAAGCCGGUGGCGUAACCCUUUUAGGGAGCGAGCCGUCUAAGGUGGGACAAAUGAUUAGGGUGAAGUCGUAACAAGGUAGCCGUAGGAGAACCUGCGGCUGGAUCACCUCCUUU
RNAcentral lists this ribosomal RNA (1569 nucleotides) under Lacticaseibacillus rhamnosus. RNAcentral describes it as "bacterial SSU rRNA". It matches the Rfam family "Bacterial small subunit ribosomal RNA". The record is from RNAcentral. Lineage: Bacteria; Bacillati; Bacillota; Bacilli; Lactobacillales; Lactobacillaceae.